Pan troglodytes (chimpanzee) is the source of this 239-nucleotide long non-coding RNA. RefSeq lists it as uncharacterized. NCBI's taxonomy places the organism in Eukaryota, Metazoa, Chordata, Mammalia, Primates, Hominidae. The transcript has 4 exons. The record is from RefSeq and is a predicted model, not a curated record.
GUGGGCUGAGUGGACGAGGAGCCGACAACCUUACCCUCAGGAGAAGCAAAACCUCAGAAGACACUCAAAGAGAAGAAGGAAAGGAGAACUCCUUCAGACGAUGAAGAGGAUAACUUAUUCGCACCCCCCAAGCUGACCGACGAGGACUUCUCGCCAUUUGGCUCUGGAGGCGGCCUGUUCAGUGGGGGCAAGGGGCUCUUUGAUGAUGAGGACGAGGAGAGUGACCUCUUCACGGAAGC